RNAcentral lists this ribosomal RNA (184 nucleotides) under uncultured bacterium. RNAcentral describes it as "partial 16S ribosomal RNA". It matches the Rfam family "Bacterial small subunit ribosomal RNA", at positions 1317 to 1500 of the family's 1533-position model. The record is from RNAcentral.
UGCAUGAAGUUGGAAUUGCUAGUAAUCGCGAAUCAGAAUGUCGCGGUGAAUACGUUCCCGGGCCUUGUACACACCGCCCGUCACACCAUGAGAGUCGAUAACACCCGAAGCCUGUGAGCUAACCGCAAGGAGGCAGCAGUCGAAGGUGGGGUUGAUGAUUGGGGUGAAGUCGUAACAAGGUAAC